GACGAACGCUGGCGGCGUGCUUAACACAUGCAAGUCGAACGGAAAAGCCCUGCUUUUGUGGGGUGCUCGAGUGGCGAACGGGUGAGUAACACGUGAGUAACCUGCCCUUGACUUUGGGAUAACUUCAGGAAACUGGGGCUAAUACCGGAUAGGAGCUCCUGCUGCAUGGUGGGGGUUGGAAAGUUUCGGCGGUUGGGGAUGGACUCGCGGCUUAUCAGCUUGUUGGUGGGGUAGUGGCUUACCAAGGCUUUGACGGGUAGCCGGCCUGAGAGGGUGACCGGCCACAUUGGGACUGAGAUACGGCCCAGACUCCUACGGGAGGCAGCAGUGGGGAAUAUUGCACAAUGGGCGGAAGCCUGAUGCAGCAACGCCGCGUGCGGGAUGGCGGCCUUCGGGUUGUAAACCGCUUUCGCCUGUGACGAAGCGUGAGUGACGGUAAUGGGUAAAGAAGCACCGGCUAACUACGUG
RNAcentral lists this ribosomal RNA (468 nucleotides) under uncultured bacterium. Its description in RNAcentral is "partial 16S ribosomal RNA". It matches the Rfam family "Bacterial small subunit ribosomal RNA", at positions 28 to 507 of the family's 1533-position model. The record is from RNAcentral.